RNAcentral lists this long non-coding RNA (14227 nucleotides) under Xyrichtys novacula (pearly razorfish). The record is from RNAcentral. Lineage: Eukaryota; Metazoa; Chordata; Actinopteri; Labriformes; Labridae.
ACACACAUGCACACACAUGCACACUUAGCUGGUAAAGCAGAGCUGACACACCCCCUUUCAGUGAGAUCACAUCCACCACUGAGCCCCCCUAUGAGAUUUUCUGCUGAUUCCUGCACACACUUAGCCAGUUUUUCAGCUGUCUAACUUAGGACCAGGACCCCUGUCUGCAGAUAGGUAGGUACCAAUGGAAUUGCUUUAUAAAUUUAGUCUCAAAUAGUGGUUUUUGUACACAAAUUGACUCUCAUGUUACUUAAAGUACAUGGUGUUCCCUCAGGUUUGUGCACAUGGUCAGGCAAGGAGGUGUGUACUGGGCUUCCAAUGGAGGCACAGUAGUUAGGCAGAAAAGCUGAUCUGUUGCUCCAGAAUAGUAUUUUAAAGAACCUGAGACCUUUUACUUAUAUUCACAGUUUGAUGUCCCUUAUUUAUUUAUUUUUUUUAGAUAUAUUGGUGUUAAAUUAAUCUAUGGGCCUACCCUAUUGUAUUUUUUCGGUACCAUUUAAUAAUUCAUUAAGCCCAAAGAGUUGAUGCAUGGAGAGCAUUAUUUCUGCAUGAGGAGGUUUCCAGACAGUCAGUUUGGCUAAUUAGUUGACAUUUAAUGCUAAUGUAAUUUCACCACCUCUGCUCUCAAGUCAGAUAUUGAGAGCCGCUUCAGGAAACGGUGGGGAGUAGUUAAUGUGAGCUUUGCCUUAUUAUUUCAGAGUUAAAAAAGUUCUCGUCCCGUUUAUCCUGGGCUGUAGUUACUCAGCGGUUUCUUUGAAAGCAGCCUGCGGUUUAGGCGCAGGACUACGUAUCCCAUAAGCCGCGGAGGUAGACGUAAUUUGGGGGGUUUACGCAGGUGUGUGUCGGCUCAGAAACACAGAAACGGCGUUCUAAGGUGAGACGAUUGGCAAGACUUCAAUAAGUUAUACAAGUGUUUUAGAAAGGGGUGAAAUAAACGCACUGGUUAAAAGUAGCAUAUUCGCACAGUUUUACACCGAGAAUACCGACUUUAACUGCAGUUACUAAGUGAAGUGUUUUUGGGUAGUGGUCUAAAAUAGCCCCAGUAGGCCCCUGUGCUUGUUGUAUGAAAAGCAGAAGUGUCGCGGCGAGACUAUGGCGGAGACUUCUGCAGCAGCUCGUUGCGUAACCGUUGAGGAGCGGGCGCAUUGAUGCAACAGCACAACGGAGUUAAAGAUGUGUCACGGUGAUAAUUGGGAUAAUCUUUGCUCAUAACUCGAUCCUAAUCCUGCUAAAAGGCUUGUCUACUAAAUUCACACCAACAUCCUUGACUGAGCAGCAAAGAGAAAAGUUCAAACUUUUUAUUUUAGAGCUGCAAAACCUUCUGCCAAUAUCCUGAAAAUAAUAGUUUUACCUGUGUGUCAGGGUUUGAAAAGCUUUAAGUAGUUGUUUGAACCAUGGCCUCCUGCUCACUGGGCGUAAAUGAAAAUCUCUGCGUUGAUCUUAUCAUCAUAUUAGAAAGUCUAAACCAGAAGCCACUUUUCUGCCUUCCUUAUGGUCCAAACUACAACUUAAACUAGGCACAGGUAGAAGUUUAACUGGUUGACUACAAUAACUGUUUUCACAAACAUACAAUGAAAUGGGAAGAUUGUCCCUUUCCUCAAUUUUAAACAAGUAAAUCAGAAGACUAACCAGCCGGUUAUUUGGUCCAGUAGUUGUUUUUUGUUUUUUUUUUAACUCAGAACAACUUUUUUUUUUUGGAUAAUUUAAGUUGGAAAAGUUUUAAAUGUGACCUUGGAAUCACUUGUUGUACCUAUACUACAAGGACAAAGGCCUCAUGUGGCCUCUGCUCCACUUAUGAUGACAAAAAAGCAAUAUGAAGACCUGAGAAAAUGCAAACUAAAAAAAUACUGCAGUUAUUCCUGAAGUGGAAAAACUUAACCAUGAGUCCCUCCAGUUAGCUGGGCCUUCAAAAUGUUUCAUGUCUCCUUUCAUUCACUGACCUUUUCAACAUGGCUGCCAUGAGCUGUGAUGAGACUGCAGAGGCAAGCGAGAUGCUGUGACCUGUUGCACAAAGCUGCCACUAGGUGGCACAACUGAUUGGACAGAUGACAUAAUAUUGAAGAGGCAACUGUCAUACUUUUCCAGCACAGAUCCUCUGUACUACAUCACAUUGUGGAAAGACCAUGAAAUGUCAGAUUUCUCCUCAGUUUUUAACCUGCUGUUUAGUGUUAGCUGGAGUUGAUGUAGGUCUUUCAAAGAGUUUCCUACUGCCUGAGCAGAGCAGUUUGAGCGAAACCUCUUUUAUCAUUCAAGUAGAACUGAAGGUAUCAGACUACAUGAUUGCUCUUCCAUUAGUAAGACCCUGAACUCAGUUCUUUUCUCUCUUUUGUCCUUGUUUGCCAAUUGUCCUGUCUUUGCACUUCAGUUAAGGUCACUGCCCCUUCACCCUUCUGCCCCCCCCACCUCCCACCCAUGACCGCUGUGUACACACGUGUGCUGUCCCCUCACAUGUUUAUCUCCUCCCACCUCCUUCUGUGAGCCCUCCCCUUUUAACCAACUCAACUCCACCAUCUCUCUCUCUCGCUCUCUCUCUCUUUCUCUGGUCUCUGUCUCUUGGUGGCUCUGGGAACCAAAGGCGUUCGGAGGACAGGAACAGGACAGGACACGCACCCUAUUCACUACCCACAGCAGCACCGCAGACAUGUCGGACUCAGAGACCGCCGCCGCCCCCGCCGAGGCCCCAGUUCCUGCCGCAUGUGUCAGCAUCAAGGCUGACCUGGACAAAUGGUAGGUGACUGUUUGAAUGUUGCACGAAAGUGUUCAGGUGAGAAAAAAGUGUAAAUAAGUGAAUGUAGAAAAAGUCUUCAUGUCAAAGUCCUGAAGCCGUUGAAUGUCCAAAACUUCUCCUCUGUCUCCAAGAGUUGCUUUCAGUCAUUUAUAAUUUACUGAGAUCUAAACCGGUAGACAGCCGAGAAGUCGUGAGCAAAGACCGACUGACUCAUCAUCGCACAUCUCUUAAUUAUUACAUAACAACUGGUUUGAAAGCAAAGAAUUCUCAAAAUCCAAAUCUGAUGUAAAAUUGCAUGAGUGUUCUAGUGCAGGAAUGUGCAGCAUCCUUAAAUGCGCCAUGUUAAAAUGGAGCCUUUUGAUGGAGGCUGUCCUCAGCGCUAAAAUCCGCCAAGACAAAAUUAAUCGUAGCAUUUUGAAAUGUGACUGAAUUUGACGUUCUAGCUGUGUAAGGGUAAAGGUUUGGGAAACUCCGGGUACUCUGCAUAGGGGACAGAGAUUUUGGGAUUAAUGGAGUGCGACAGCGGGGUGAUGUUUGAUGCUCAUCGAUUCGCAUGGAUGGAGGCUGGGAAUCUGCUUACGUCACACCCCUUCCCCAGAAUACCUUGCGUUAGCUUGUCCCAAAAACCUUCACUGCCCCUCUUUGCCUUCUGCUGUAUCGGUGGUCGGGGACAGCACCGAAGUGUCCGUUUGGGGGCUUUCAUGCAAUUGUACAGUACAGACUGUGGUCUGCAGAGGGGUGUAGCUGAAUUCACUUUGCUGUAAAAUGUUCUUGCACAUUUACCCUUCACAUUCGCCCUCCACACCCCUUUUUUGGAUCAGUCCAUUUCAACUACCAAGAUUUUUUUUCAGUGGAUGGUGGCUAAGCUAAGGCUCAAGUAGAUCAAUUGAUCAAUCAUCAUUUGCAGCUUACAUUUUUUUUAUUGUUAUUAUUGGAUAAUGCGUUUUUGCCUUAUUUGUGCUAAAAUUCUGUGCAGGAUACUUCAUUUCUUGGUAGUAAAAGCUGCCAUGUAUGUUCCAGCCAGACUGUUGGACCUUGAUAAGGUGGCAGUAAAUGUGUGAACCCUCUAGAUAAGAUGACUGAGGUGGGGUGGUGGAGAGAGGGCAGGCAGGGAAAGGCCUGGCUGGUUGGCUAAUCAUGUGUAGAAGUUGCACAAGUGCCAACUUUGUCGCCCUUUUUAUACACUUACUAAAGACACUGGAGGAUACCUUUGAGUUUACAGGUUCGGUAGCGAGUUUGACAUCAAUAAACAUUGGAGGUUUUACUCAGGUGUACAGUCCAACAUUGAUAAAUACCUGACACCAAAUAAUGAAAGCUGCACUUGUGUACAGACUCAUUGAGGGGCAGCUUUUACUGUACCUUGUUAAAGUGCAAAGUAACUCUAAACUUGGAGCUCCGGCCAAGGUCGUCUCUCGGCAGGCUGUUAAAAAGCACAGUGCAAUCUGUCUGAGGUGGAAAAUCUUAAGAUGAGUUUGAACUCAGAGUUUUAUACAUUAAAAAAUAGGAUGCAGCUUUUAAGCACUACUUUUAAUAGGAAAUGACAGUGCUAGCCUGCUAGUAAAAGCAAACAAUCCAUACUUCUAAGCUUCAAAAGUGAUAUCAGACAACUCUAGUUUGGCACUUUUUGAAUUGACUUCACCUGAGCACAUGCCCUACACAGCUCCUUCUUAAGCCGCUACAGGUUUCAUAUUUUUAUUUUAUUUUGUCAUGAGUACUUUGUGAGCUUGGAAGCUGAAGCCCUCCUUUUGCACUCCGCCAUUUAAGCUUCUUGUGCUCUGUGGGACUGUUCGCCAGUAUUUUAGAGAUAGUAAAUUCUAUCUGCAGUUAUUAAACACCACACACCAGGCUGUGUAAUUUAUGUGUUUGAAAACUCCUGGCAGCAGGUCAAGGUAACAGUUGUACAUCCACAGAGAGUGGAGGUGGAAAUGAUGGAAGUAGUAAGGACCAUCUGGUAUCCUUUGAAUCCAGUUUGUGAUAAAUAAGAUGAUAAGAUGAUCGGGUAUCAAAGCCUCAGCUCCCCUCUGGUCUCUCUGCAUGUGGUCACCUAUGUGCUGAAUGUCCCUACGACUCCUGGCCUGUCUGGGCCUUUCAUUUCAAACCAACUUACUCGAGCUACUAGAAGAUGCAAUAUGGCGGACAGUGUAAUGAAUACCAUAACCCCUAUGUAUUUUUAGAUGUGUGUACGACUCAAGACUGUAUGUGCAGGAUACCAUGACAUGUUCCCUGCCGUAGAUCAUGUUACAGCUCCACCUGACACUUCUUUUUAAACAGGCCAGCUCAAUGUGAAACAGCUCCACAUUCACACUCAGGCGGGAGACUCAUGGAGGCGGCCAUGUUGGAUUGAGGCCCUCAUUCUGAUUAAUAAACCAGUUUUGACUCAAGUGUCUAGGUCAUUUCUAUCAUGUUAGAUUGUUUUAGAAAUGUUUCUGACAUCUUUAAACGCUUGAGAUAAUUUUCAUUUCAGUUUUCUUGUACAGGGCAGUGUUAGUUAUGAGCUCGCCAAGGUCAUAUAGCAAAGUCACACAGGCCAGGUAUUAGCAACAGGCUACCUGCAUCAGCAAAGUGUGCAUUUGAUAUGAAAUAUGAUAUUUACAUACAGAAUAGAAAUAAAUCUACUGUUACACAUUAAAAUAAAAUUUGAAAAUAGAAUUGUUUUAUUAGCAAUGACUGCUGCACUUUGUAAUUUCUGAAGCUAUCUUAACACAGUUUAUUUUAACUUUACAAAGAGUUAAAUAUUUGGUUAAGUGUGGUUAAACUCUUCAUUUUAGCUCAAAUUUGCGUUGUAGCCCAGGCUAAUAUCAGACAAGUGUACAUGUGAUAACGUAUUGGAGACCUUUCUGACUGUUUUAAAAGUCACAUAAUUUAGGUCUUUGGAGAAACAAAUCCUCUGUUGCACAAAGGUUGACAUUAUUCAACCAGUGUUUAACUAUUAAUAAAAGCUGAAAUGAUCAUUUAAGAAAACGCUUUCUGCAGUGUAUUUGUAGACAUUUGCACCAACAUCUUAAAGUCCUGGGGCCUGUUUAGUUGUCAGUUAUUCACUAAUAUUUACCAUACUCCCGCAAACCCCUAUAGCUGACAUGUUGGUUAAUGGUAAGCCUGUGUACUUUGAGACUCUUUCACAAGAGUUUGACAUGAGCACACAGACCUAUCCCCUUUCCUUUGCUCCUCCUCACACACAUUCUGUCUCUGUUACUGAUUGCCUAAAAGUUGCAUGCACAGACAGGCAUGUACAUUUUUGCCAGUGGAAACCGUGCUGGUUUUCACCAUGGAAUUCGGUGACUAGGCAGAAGUCAGUAAUCUGAGUAAAGGGCUGUGGAGCUGCAGUUGUGACCCCCCCCCCCCCCCCCCCACCCAAUAUAUGGAAAUACUCAAGUGGUUAUGAGAGAGACCCUGGACCCUGACGACUUUAGAGGAAGGCGUCAUCUUCAUUGUUAUUCAAAAUGACUAAAUGGUACUUAAAAUUAAGUUACUUCUACUUCUAGUUAAUAAGUGACUAAAAACAAAAGUACUUUAAUUCAAACCGUAGCCAAGAGAUUUGCAGAAAGUCAGCUCUAGACUCUGACACUGGGUCUAAAGAGGAGUCAGGCACCACUAUCUCCCAAUCUCAGACCUUAGUAGGGUCAGUUGUCGUAGCUCUAGGUUGCUUGUAUUAGCUGUGCAGUUAUUGCUACCUCCAGGCAUCCCAGGAAAAACCUCAGAGAGCCCUGCUCCACAAAGCUCUCUGUGCCCCAAAGCAUCUACUCAGUGAAAGUUGUGCAUGUUUUAAAUGCAAGAUUAUGAAGUCUCCCUGACACAGCAGACAUCGGGGGCAUGGUGGUUAAUCAUUACUGGUCUGAUGUCUGAUCUCCUCUGUUCCACCUCUUGGAGCACCUCUAUUAAAAAGUCUUUGUUUAGAGAGUUUGAUUUGUGUUGAUCGAGUGAUUAAUAAAAGACAUCACAUACUGUUGUAGGAUGUGUAGAGAACUUGUUAAAAUACCCUCGGCACUGUCUGCAGCUCAUGCCCCUGGACUAGUUGAUUGCUGGUUUUCUGUAUCUUGCAUAGUUGAUAAUUUGCAUUUGAAAUCUUGAGUUAUUGACUUUAAGAAAAAGUCAGAGAAAGAUGGAUUUGACUUGCAGUUAAAAAAUGCUUUAAACAGGUUUGAUAUCAGUGUCAGUGUAUUUAAGGUUCACUCCCUGAUGUCUCUUGAGAUAUUUUCUACUGUUAGUUUAGUGAAGACCCUGAGUCUGGGGGUUGGCAGUUAAACUAGAAUAUGGUUUUUAAUGUGAUUAAUUGUAAUGCAACUGGUGAUAUGAAAUGCUAAGUAGACAGUGAAUUUUUCUCGAGGGGACACAAAUCUUGAGGAACAUUCUGCUGGUCCAAGGCCCAGGGUUCCUUCUAGGGCUGGGCAAUAAACCGAAAAUGUACAGAUACCAAAAUUUACGACAAUGCCGUAAAUGACGUCAUUUUGCCCAUAUCUGUAUAUUCAGUGUCAAACAAAUAAAUAAAUAAAAGUUGGUUUUGGAUGUGUGUAGGUAGGCUUUGGUCUCAUGUCCCUUUAAGACGCUGUCCUAUGUCAGAGAUAUGACUCCACCCCAUCCAGUCCGUAACAAAGAGGGAAAGACAGGUGAGUAGAUGGAAGACGGUAGAAAUAGACAAAGUUAAUGUGGGAGGGGGUGAGCAGCUUGAGAGUAGUUAAUGUCCAUUUAUCGUAAUCUAGGUGAACUUGUUAAUGUAUCCUGAUAUUGAUUUGAGGCCAUAUCGCCCAGCCCUACUUCCUUCACGCUGAUUAAACUGCACACUUUCCUUAAUCACUCAUGAUGUCUCUGCUUAUGCUCAGCCACCACAUCCUCUGGUGCUGCAGCGCCUGCUCAUUGUUGCAACAUGCAUGUUUGUCCCAGAGGGCUUACUACAGCCAGCCCAGUCUUCAAGUAGUAAAUAAUUCAAGAGUUCAUUUCCUGAUGGUGUCCAACACAGGAUGAGGACGCUGCUCUCCUUCCUCCUCCAUCACUCCUUGUAUUAUCAUUACAAUUUGAGCUUUUUGUUUUAAUGGACAUGCUCAAGUGCUCAAGCCUUAUUUUAGUGCUGUUACUUGUCGCCACGACUGCCCCGCUUUGCCCCUUGACCCCUUAAGGUGACCCAGUACAGAGUAAUGCUUUCUCUCAGGAGAUUGCGUGAUGGAUGAAGUGGUGGUGAUGUCAUUGGCUCCCCUCCCUCCUUUGCUUGAACAGGCUCUGUAAUCCUCCUGCGUGCACUCUAAAUAAAUGUGUGUCAUCAUAUCUCCAUCUGCUUUUAUUUGGGACUAUUCAACAUCUUUUUAAAUCCCCUCAUUUUCAAUGCUCAGAAAAUAAUCAGAGUAACAUUAAAAACCGCUCCAUAUAGGAGUGGAGUAUCGUGAUCAUGGUUUUGAAUCUGAGUUUUUAGGGUGUUUUGUAAAAAAAAGAGCAGCAUAAAGCUUUUAAAGAUGUUUGUAAAAGCAGAGUUUGCAAACAGGGCUUGGAGCAUUGGCUCAAGUGGUAACAGUGUAUUAGUGUAACUGUUGUGAAGGAAAUCCUUAGCUAUAGUGCAGAGCCUGUUUGAAUUCAGGACUUAUUUAGGAUUGAAAGAUGCAUCUUAAAGGCUCAGUGUGUAGUAGGGCUGGGCGAUAAACCGAAACUUAGGACAAUAACCAACGUCAUUAUGCCCGUAUGUCGGUAUAUUCGGUGUCAAAAAAAUAAAUAAAAGUUGUUUUGGAUGUGUGUAGACAGGCAAUGGUCUCAUGUCCCUGUCUUACGUCAGAGACGUGACUCCACCCCAUCCAAUCCGUAACAAAGAGGGAAAGACAGGUGAGGAGAUGGAGGACGGUUCAAAAGUUUUUAGCGGCUGAAGUAGACGAAGUUAAUGUGGGAGGGGGUGAGCAGCUUGUGGAGUAGUUAUCAUCCAUUUAUCAUUAUCUAGCUGAAUUGCUCAAUAUAUCAUGAUAUUGAUUUGAGGCCACAUUACCCAGCCCUAGUGUGUAGUAACUUUAGCAGAGGAGACUUCUGAUUCACUCUAAUACAAAACAAAUACACUGCAAUACCAAAACAAUUUACUGUUUGUCACUGAGGAUGUAAUAUUACUAAAAAGGAGAAGUUACUGAAACAGGACCUGGUACUGAACUUUGAGGAACAGAUAGCAACAUGUCAGUUUUCAACACGGCUGCUCAGCAUUUCACCACCAUGAGACAAACAAUCCUGACACCAAGUCCAGUUCCAGAUAUAAUAUACAUCCUAUACCCUCUGUAAACCUUAAAAGAUCAAUUCAGUGAUCAAUUCAGCAUAGCACAUUUUUUCCUCUUUUGUCAUUAGAUACAAUAUCAUCAAACACAGGAAAAGCAGAUCAGUGCUGAACUAAGCUCUAAAACCAGAGUGCUGCGGACCUAAAUAGAGGAUUUCUCAGGAGAAGGGAUCUGAGCCGCCUGUUGAAUCAAGUAUGUUAGACACACAGGACAGAAGCGGAUGAAAAGAGUACGCAGGAUGAGGAUGAACGAUAUCAAAUAUUCUGGGGUGAUUUUUGUAGCAAAGCAAACUUUUCCACACAAUGACAGAGAGCCACAGUGUCAAGAGCUCCACUCAGGAUUGAGAUUGGGUGUUGUAUGUGAGUUGUGAUGGACCGAUGGUGCGCUGAAAGGAUUAUCCGACCACACACCCUCAGGUCAGACUCUGCGCUGCACUGAUGUUGGGUCAUCAUCGCCGCAGUGCAUCAAACACAAGUGCUAAUUGAUGUGAAAGCACACACAUGUACACACUUCAGCCCACCACCAGGAAGAAAAGCUAGCAGGGACACAAACUCAAUGGGUCCCUUUUCAUCUCACACACACAUACACACACUGAACGCCAUGCCUCCAGGCGAAAUGAAAUGCUGAGUGAUAAUCUGCGGCAGCCAGCUGUGUGUUACAUCAUAACAGGCAGGCAGCCAAUAGAGAGAGAGGAGGCAGCAGUGAUGGUGAGAGUGUAGCAGAGGUAGAAUAAAAAAGAUAAAACCCUCUGUAAUGACAUUGUGUUCGUUAGGUUUGCUUCUCUGUUAAGUUGAAUAUUGUUUUUGGUUUUCUUUUAAUAGAACUCCUUUUUUAUUCUUAAUCUCCUUUAUUGCAACAAAAGUACAAAACAAAAUAAAACACCAACCACAAAGUUAAAAAGUUUUUUUUAAGCAGUCAUUCGUCCUCUUAGAGUGUCCGUCUUUAAUUCUCUGCAGCAUUAAUUGUGAUAUCCUUAUUUUAUAUCUCUUAAAUUUUUAUAUAUUUCAGACAGUGAUAGAGGAUUUAGGUUGUAAAUCUGUGUUUUUUUGAAAUUUAAUCCCAGUUUUAGUUUCAAGGUGAAGUUGUGCCAAUAGUAAAUUUUAGUUUGAUUUAUCCACAUCUUCAUACAGUUGUGUGACCGAGCUUAAAGUAGAAGUAGUUGACCUUGUGACCUCGUGUCAGCAUAUAAUUGUAAUCUCUUUAAGGCCUCCACCUCAGAAUAAUGAUGACUCAAUGUUUUUCUACUGUGCGGUUCUUGCCAGUGCCUGUCAAAGCUAUCGUCAUCCUCAUCCUUUAAAUUUGUGCUUUGAUAUGCUGGAUAAUUAGCAUUGUUAGCUGACGUAAGCUGCUUUAAAGUCAAUUGAGCUGGAGAAGAAGGAUUGAGAGAUGAGGGUUGUGAUCUUGCUCUUAAACUGGAUUGGAGGAAGAAUAGAGAGAUGCUCAGACCUCACUCUGUGAUUGGUGCAGCCAAAGGAUGGCUUUACAGUCAUGUAUUGUGAAGCCCCUCCUCUUGCAGGCUUACCCUCUUUCCUCUCUGUCUUGUCAUCUCUACACUAUCACGCAACCUCCCUCCCUUCCUAUGAAACAGAUGGGUUCACCCACAUGGCUUUCUGUAUCACUCACUCCCCCCUCCCUCCCUUUCUCCUCCCUCUCCUCUCUCUUGCUCCAUCACCCUAAUGUGCUGUGGCAGUGUCCGCUGCUGUGUUUGCUUCUACACAGGAGUCUGAGAUAAUCUGUUCGCCACCAUUCACUCUCUCUCUCUCUCUCUCUCUCUCUCUCUCUCUCUCUCUCUCUCUCUCUCUCUCUCUCUCUCUCUCUCUCUCUCUCUCUCUCUCCACCUCACACUUUUUUUUGCUUAACUUUCAUUCAUACAUUCUAUGCUUUUUUUAAAUAUGUUUCAACCAUCAGUUUGUGUCUAAUAUAAAUGUGAUACAACAAUGUUAAUGAGUGAGUCAUGCUCAGAGGGAGAACUAACAACACUUGUCAGUUUACUUGUCUUCACUUAAUCCUGAAGAUCUUAUUUUUAUCUUUACACUUUAUCUCACUGACGUAUUCUGGACUAUCCUCCACUAGAAACUGGACUGAUGUUACCUUUUGAUAAUUUUAUUGUUGGGUUUUUCUACAGUAUUAAAGUUAAUUGGUACACAAAAAGCAUCUUGUGUUUUCAUAAGACUCAGUUGAUCCAGGACUCUGCUGAGUCCAGUGUUGCUGACCAAAGCUCUCCUGUCAGUCCUUUUUUUUUUUUUUUUACUGCAUCCGGCUCACAUGUCAUUUGUUCGACAAGGUGACAUUGAAAGACAAAGCGGAGGUAUUUCUGAUCUAACUGUAUUAAAUUAGAUUUUUUUUUUCUGCAGUGUGGCAGAGACGGGAGAAGAGGGCUGCAAAAUCCUGCUUGAGGCCUUCAAUAAUUGUGUUAAGAGUGCAGCUGAGGCGACGUCAUGAGGGGGCCGACCCUUACCUCAAAUGUAAGUGUGUUACGUAACUCUCUGAUUCAUUUGCUGAUUUUAUAGAUUUUAGCUCUGAUGAAAGCUGUUCGGAGAAAAGUCUGAGGGUAAUCCAGCAGGUCACUGUUUCUGGUUUAGUUAAUAUCAGUUUUCAGUGCUCUGGUUUGGACAAAAUGGGGAGGCAACAUCAGAGGGGAGACAGGACCACUCAGACCACUCAGUAUCGGUGUGGGUGUCUGGGCGUGCAUGUGGCGCUCCUGCAAUGUUUUACUCUUGUUUGUCUGCAACAACAUAAUGUGAUGUAAAGACACACACCAAUACACUGACGUUACACAGAUGCUUAUCAUAGGGUUCCAACGCAAGUAUAAAAAAGUAUGGAAAUAAAUGUUUCCAGACUAUUACCACAGUUCUAAAAUACAGUUUUCUAAAACAGAAAAGUAGGUAUUUCCAAAAGUAAUUCUAAAAAGUAGUGUAUGGAAAAGUAUGGAACUUCAAAUUGUGUAGGAACCCUGAUAUCAGUGGGGCUGUUGUCUACAUCUAUGAUUUACAUGUGAUCUGUAUCCUGUAUCCAAGAUAAGAUAAACUAGAUAAGGAGUAUAUAUAUAUAUUUAAACCUUGUUAGGAGACUGUUUCUGCAAACUUUAGCAACAGGUAACAACGGUAUCAAACACACCUUCAUGAAAAAAGGGAAUAAAAGAAAUAAACAUUUGCUGCCUCUUUACUAAGGAGACCCUGUCAAACUCAAAGUAUAAUGAUAGCUGGUUAUUGAGGACAAACUCAUGCUCUUCUUCUAAACUUAAACAAACUGUGACUGAUUAAAUCACAACAGUUACAAUAAGGUCAGAAGAGGCAUCCAAACAACCUGGUUAGAUUAACUGUCUCUUUAAGAAACGGCUUUGCAAGCUUACUGUAAAAUAUGCAAUAACCACAUGUAAGAUUACAGCAGGCAAGCACCUUCUGUGAUACCAGCUUUGUGGAAAUGUCCCUGAGUAAGACAGAAGAAGUGUAAAUCCAAAGACCUGUUGAUCACAGGGUUACAACUACAGUCAUUGAUUAUCAUUAUUCACUGGUUUGUUUAUUGGUCCAUCAGUCACAGUUUCCUUUGUCUCACCUCUCGUAUGUUUUCCAGGUCCACUGCACUGAGUCCUCCAAGUUCCCAGCAUUCCCUUCUGCACAAAGGCACUGGACUGAAUGAUGAUGAUGACAAUGAUGAUGAAGACGAUCAUGGUGUGGCAAACAUCGAGUUGAUUCGGGCUGAAUUCGGGAUCUGGCGGCAGUAACCACAGUUUCCUCCCUCUGUCCUCCUCCCCCCCUGCUUUAGGCUUAUCUGGUGUCCCUCAGUCUUACCACCAUUCCCCCUCUCCCUCUAUGGCUGACAUGCAGCACAUCAACAUGUAGACAAUUCCAGAGAGCUGAUGGGCUGUAAUGUCAAUUGUCGACUUGAGAUGAAUACUUAUAAAUGGAAAUAAAAGUAUCCAGUAAUUGGUAUAAAAACAAAUUGUGAUUUUGGCUUCUUUUCUUUCUCUGAUAAGGCGAGGAUGGUAACUUUCAUUAAAACUUGGAUGUAGCACCAUCAGUGUUGUCUCAUAUGAACCCGUUUGGGAGUAUGGAUCAUUGUCUUUAUUUAGAAAAAAGACCAGAACAAAUAUUGUUCCCUCGGUUAGUCUCUACUGUGUGAACUUUGACAAGGGCAAAACACGCCAUCGAGAAGAGUGGAGCUAGUUAUUACUCUGAAGCAGUGAAAACAACUAAAAGUACAAGAAUGAAAGCGGGAAUCCUUCAAAAACACUCCUGCUUGGGAGUGAAGCUGUUGAGUCAAACAAGUUCUUCAAACCACAGAACUAAAGCAGCAACUACAUCAAAAACUAACUUUUUUUCCUGUUGUGGAGGCACCAAAAAAGCCCAUAAACUCUGUCAACUUGACAUUGUUUUCUAUCUAUUUUACUCAUAUCUGCAGUUUUCGUUAUUCUUUUUUUAUAUAUAUAUAAAAUAUAAAUGAUUGCUAAAUAGACAGAGGCACAAGUCUGUUACAGUAGCUGCCUGGUCCAAGCUAACUUAAAUCACAGAAGAGCAUCUAAUCUUUGACCUAAGACAUUUAAGUACAAAAACAGUCAAUGUGAAUCAACCACUGAAAGAAGUUUUUUUUCAAUGUUUUUUUUCAACUUGACAGUUGAUGGUUGCUUUAAUGUCCCAUUGACAUUCUAUUGAAUGCCAAACUGAAAAAGCUUUGUGUGGCAUUCAUAUUUAAAACAUUUACACACUCACAAUAAACAUAAAUUGUUUAGUCAUGAAUUUUAAAGUGAAGGAAAAUUGGUGUCGUUCAUUGACAGAGUCACUGCUGAAUUCACUUAAACCAGAUCUAAAGCCACCAUGCUCAGGCCACACACAUACACUCGCAAGGAGACAGCGAUACUGUCAGCUGUCUGUUCCAUCCUGAUCAAACUUCAGAGAGAGGCUGAAACUGCUUUUGGCAUCACACCCAACAGAUUCCCUCAGGAGCCACCCAUUGGCUUUCAGUUAGAGCUUUGUCGUUGUUUAGUUUACAGUCGAACAGGCUUAUCCAGCCUCUGAACCGAAGAUUUAAAAAAAGUUCAGAGCCAUGACAUGACAUGACGCUUUAUGAAGAUUUUCAGCAUGUUAGAAAUGUACCCUCUAAAUCCUAUGAGAGUAGACAGAUGUGUGAGAAACAUACAGUUGGAUUGAACAUGUCUCUCAGGAAACACUUUACCUCAGCAAGAUGGAUGAUAUCUUUGAAGAAAAAUGUAUUUCUGUGCCGCACAACAGAAAUGACUAAAUAAACUGUCUGAAUGUGGACUUAAAAA